RNAcentral lists this ribosomal RNA (492 nucleotides) under uncultured bacterium. RNAcentral describes it as "partial 16S ribosomal RNA". It matches the Rfam family "Bacterial small subunit ribosomal RNA", at positions 29 to 507 of the family's 1533-position model. The record is from RNAcentral.
AGUGAACGCUGGCGGUAGGCCUAACACAUGCAAGUCGAACGGCAGCACAGUAAGAGCUUGCUCUUACGGGUGGCGAGUGGCGGACGGGUGAGGAAUACAUCGGAAUCUACUUUUUCGUGGGGGAUAACGUAGGGAAACUUACGCUAAUACCGCAUACGACCUACGGGUGAAAGCAGGGGAUCUUCGGACCUUGCGCGAUUGAAUGAGCCGAUGUCGGAUUAGCUAGUUGGCGGGGUAAAGGCCCACCCAGGCGACGAUCCGUAGCUGGUCUGAGAGGAUGAUCAGCGACACUGGAACGGAGACACGGUCCAGACUCCUACGGGAGGCAGCAGUGGGGAAUAGUGGACAAUGGGCGCAAGCCUGAUCCAGCCAUACCGCGUGGGUGAAGAAGGCCUUCGGGUUGUAAAGCCCUUUUGUUGGGAAAGAAAAGCAGCAGGUUAAUACCCCGCUGUUCUGACGGUACCCAAAGAAUAAGCACCGGCUAACUUCGUG